RNAcentral lists this ribosomal RNA (497 nucleotides) under uncultured bacterium. RNAcentral describes it as "partial 16S ribosomal RNA". It matches the Rfam family "Bacterial small subunit ribosomal RNA", at positions 28 to 523 of the family's 1533-position model. The record is from RNAcentral.
GAUGAACGCUGGCGGCGUGCUUAACACAUGCAAGUCGAGCGAAGCACUUUACUUGGAUUUCUUCGGAAUGACGAGUAUUGUGACUGAGCGGCGGACGGGUGAGUAACGCGUGGGUAACCUGCCUCAUACAGGGGGAUAACAGGUAGAAAUGACUGCUAAUACCGCAUAAGACCACAGCACCGCAUGGUGCAGGGGCAAAAACUCCGGUGGUAUGAGAUGGACCCGCGUCUGAUUAGCUAGUUGGUGGGGUAACGGCCUACAAAGGCAACGAUCAGUAGCCGGCCUGGGAGGGCGACCGGCCACAUUGGGACUGAGACACGGCCCAAACUCCUACGGGAGGCAGCAGUGGGGAAUAUUGCACAAUGGGGGAAACCCUGAUGCAGCGACGCCGCGUGAAGGAAGAAGUAUUUCGGUAUGUAAACUUCUAUCAGCAGGGAAGAAAAUGACGGUACCUGACUAAGAAGCCCCGGCUAACUACGUGCCAGCCGCCGCGGUAA